This 322-nucleotide ribosomal RNA is filed under the name uncultured bacterium. RNAcentral describes it as "bacterial SSU rRNA". It matches the Rfam family "Bacterial small subunit ribosomal RNA", at positions 1061 to 1382 of the family's 1533-position model. The record is from RNAcentral.
CGUGCCGUGAGGUGUUGGGUUAAGUCCCGCAACGAGCGCAACCCUCACCCUAUGUUGCCAUCGGGUUAUGCCGGGCACUCUUAGGGAACUGCCGGCGAAGAGCUGGAGGAAGGGGGGGAUGACGUCAAGUCCGUAUGCCCCUUAUAUCCAGGGCUACACACAUGCUACAAUGGCCGGUAUAGAGGGUUCCCAACCCGCGAGGGGGAGGCAAUCCCAGAAAGCCGGUCUCAGUUCGGAUUGCAGGCUGCAACUCGCCUGCAUGAAGUCGGAAUCGCUAGUAAGCGCAGAUCAGCAGGCUGCGCUGAAUACGUUCCCGGGCCUU